RNAcentral lists this ribosomal RNA (833 nucleotides) under Microtetraspora sp. IM-3183. RNAcentral's name for it is "bacterial SSU rRNA". It matches the Rfam family "Bacterial small subunit ribosomal RNA", at positions 38 to 889 of the family's 1533-position model. The record is from RNAcentral. Lineage: Bacteria; Bacillati; Actinomycetota; Actinomycetes; Streptosporangiales; Streptosporangiaceae.
GGCGGCGUGCUUAACACAUGCAAGUCGAGCGGAAAGGCCCUUCGGGGGUACUCGAGCGGCGAACGGGUGAGUAACACGUGAGUAACCUGCCCCUGACUCUGGGAUAAGCCUGGGAAACUGGGUCUAAUACCGGAUAUGACCAUUUCGGGCAUCCGAUGGUGGUGGAAAGUUUUUUCGGUUGGGGAUGGACUCGCGGCCUAUCAGCUUGUUGGUGGGGUAGUGGCCUACCAAGGCGACGACGGGUAGCCGGCCUGAGAGGGCGACCGGCCACACUGGGACUGAGACACGGCCCAGACUCCUACGGGAGGCAGCAGUGGGGAAUAUUGCGCAAUGGGCGGAAGCCUGAGCCAGCGACGCCGCGUGGGGGAUGACGGCCUUCGGGUUGUAAACCUCUUUCAGCAGGGACGAAGUUGACGUGUACCUGUAGAAGAAGCGCCGGCUAACUACGUGCCAGCAGCCGCGGUAAUACGUAGGGCGCAAGCGUUGUCCGGAAUUAUUGGGCGUAAAGAGCUCGUAGGUGGCUUGUCGCGUCUGCCGUGAAAGCUUAGGGCUUAACCCUAGGUCUGCGGUGGAUACGGGCAGGCUAGAGGCUGGUAGGGGCAAGCGGAAUUCCUGGUGUAGCGGUGAAAUGCGCAGAUAUCAGGAGGAACACCGGUGGCGAAGGCGGCUUGCUGGGCCAGUUCUGACGCUGAGGAGCGAAAGCGUGGGGAGCGAACAGGAUUAGAUACCCUGGUAGUCCACGCUGUAAACGUUGGGCGCUAGGUGUGGGGUGCUUCCACGAGACCCGUGCCGUAGCUAACGCAUUAAGCGCCCCGCCUGGGGAGUACGGCCGC